RNAcentral lists this ribosomal RNA (230 nucleotides) under uncultured Alicycliphilus sp. RNAcentral describes it as "partial 16S ribosomal RNA". It matches the Rfam family "Bacterial small subunit ribosomal RNA", at positions 548 to 774 of the family's 1533-position model. The record is from RNAcentral. Lineage: Bacteria; Pseudomonadati; Pseudomonadota; Betaproteobacteria; Burkholderiales; Comamonadaceae.
AGAGAUGCAUUGGGCGUAAAGCGUGCGCAGGCGGUUUUGUAAGACAGAAGUGAAAUCCCCGGGCUCAACCUGGGAACUGCCUUUGUGACUGCAAGGCUGGAGUGCGGCAGAGGGGGAUGGAAUUCCGCGUGUAGCAGUGAAAUGCGUAGAUAUGCGGAGGAACACCGAUGGCGAAGGCAAUCCCCUGGGCCUGCACUGACGCUCAUGCACGAAAGCGUGGGGAGCAAACA